RNAcentral lists this ribosomal RNA (498 nucleotides) under uncultured bacterium. RNAcentral describes it as "bacterial SSU rRNA". It matches the Rfam family "Bacterial small subunit ribosomal RNA", at positions 28 to 521 of the family's 1533-position model. The record is from RNAcentral.
GAUGAACGCUAGCGGGAGGCUUAAUACAUGCAAGUCGAGCGGGAUUCUCCUUCGGGAGAUGAGAGCGGCGCACGGGUGAGUAACGCGUACGUAACCUGCCUUACAGAGGGGAAUAGCCCUGGGAAACUGGGAUUAAUACUCCAUAGUAUAUAGAUGGCGCAUGCUGUUUAUAUUAAAGUUGAGGCGCUGUAAGAUGGGCGUGCGUGCUAUUAGCUAGUUGGUGAGGUAACGGCUCACCAAGGCUACGAUAGCUAGGGGGCGUGAGAGCGUGGCCCCCCACACGGGUACUGAGACACGGACCCGACUCCUACGGGAGGCAGCAGUAAGGAAUAUUGGACAAUGGACGCAAGUCUGAUCCAGCCAUGCCGCGUGAAGGAUUAAGGGUCCUCUGGAUUGUAAACUUNUUUAUAAGGGACGAAAAAAGGUCUUUCUAGAUCGUCUGACGGUACCUUAUGAAUAAGCAACCGGCUAAACUCCCGUAGCCCAGCCAGCCGCGGU